CGAAAGAAGACGCUGAUGCCAGAUCUGUGAACAAGAAAAGUCUAGAGAUUCAUCGAGAGAAUUUUCAUUAAGGAGAUGGCCAUCAGAUAAGAUGACCUGGCUUUUCCUCCUGCCACCUCAAAUGUGUCAUGGACAGUCUCAUAAGAAGUAAGAACAAAAGAGCUAGGAUGAAAGAGCCUGCGUUGAAAAGAACAGCAACUGUAAAUGGAAGGCAAGAUCAAGAAGCCUACUUUUUCAAACUCAGGGAAUUCUUUGAGACAGUGAGACAGAGAAAGCAGUGAGUGGAGUUCAGAGAGCACUGCACUUCAAGCAAAACCUCCACUUAUGUACAUAUGCUGUCUGCGAUGUUAAGUUUUAGUGGAAAUGUUCUGCAACUAGUAGGAAAAAAAGGAGAGGAUCCAAGGAUCUUGAAAAAUCACAGAAGGCUCAUAGAUGAACAAAAAAUUAGAAAGAAGGAAAAAAGAGGGGAAAAUGAGCAUCGAGUGGCAAACUACAGAGGAUUACCAGCUAAUCUUGCACAAAGCUCCUUUUCCUUUCUCGUCUCCAUUUUCUGUGCUUUAACCCUAAGUCACCUGGCAAGUUCCAGUUCUCUGUCAAGCCCUGAGUAUUUGCUUACAAAAUCAUUUUAAUUACAAAAUUUUACUGAAAACAAACAGAACAACAACAAAAAAAAAAAACAAUUCCUGUUCAUUAGAACUCCCUUUCUAGUAAAGGGGACAAAUACGGACACCAGAUACUUGAAGAUAUGAUAAGUCAAGUGUUGUCUUGGUUGA
Peromyscus maniculatus bairdii (prairie deer mouse) is the source of this 773-nucleotide non-coding RNA. Lineage: Eukaryota; Metazoa; Chordata; Mammalia; Rodentia; Cricetidae. The record is from RefSeq and is a predicted model, not a curated record.